RNAcentral lists this ribosomal RNA (468 nucleotides) under uncultured bacterium. RNAcentral's name for it is "partial 16S ribosomal RNA". It matches the Rfam family "Bacterial small subunit ribosomal RNA", at positions 28 to 507 of the family's 1533-position model. The record is from RNAcentral.
GACGAACGCUGGCGGCGUGCUUAACACAUGCAAGUCGAACGGAAAGGCCCUGCGUUCGUGGGGUGCUGGAGUGGCGAACGGGUGAGUAACACGUGAGUAACCUGCCCUUGACUUUGGGAUAACUUCAGGAAACUGGGGUUAAUACCGGAUAGCAGCUCCUGCUGCAGGGUGGGGGGGGGAAAGUUUCGGCGGUCGGGGAUGGACUCGCGGCUUAUGAGCUUGUUGGUGGGGUAGUGGCUGACCAAGGCUGGGACGGGUAGCCGGCCUGAGAGGGUGACCGGCGACAUUGCUACUGAGAGACGGCCCAGUCUCCUACGUUAGGCAGUAGUGGCGAGUAUUGCACAGCGGGCGCACGUGUGUGGAAGCGACGCCGCGGGUGUGAUGACGUCCUGCGGGGAAUGAACCGCUUUCGCCUGUUACGAAGCGGGUGUGACGGUACUCAGUAAAGAAGCACCGGCUAACUACGUG